GCGCUCACCGGCCGGUGUGCUCGCCGAGUGCGCCUCGCUGGAGACCUGCCUGGGGCCCGGGCUGCGCACCUGCCGCCCAGGAGCGACAGGGAAGGGUGGCCCGGAGACUGUUCCCUGUGGGCCCGGCUCCCUCGCCGUGGGCGCCGCUCACCCAGCGAGGCUGCACCCCGACACUAGGAAGGCCGGUGCCGGGGGAGCUGAUGCCCUCCGUGCGCGGCCCCUGCUUCCGCCCCGCGUUCUCGCGGUGCCCACGCAGCAGGGGGAAGCCACCCCAGGACCUCGUGCCUCGGGGACCCCAGGUCGGGGAGGGUUACCAGGACCAAGGUGGCAGAGGUCACUGGAAGUGAUGUUAACACCAGCUCCCUUUCUGCCCUGGUCUAGCGACUCCUUUCAUAAAACCAUCCCUGAAAUGUUAUCUGCAUUUACACCCAAACUUACUCGCUUUGAUCAUCGAAACGAAUCAACGAUUACAUUGUAUCUUCUCAGGGUCUGCGGGGCUUUCAGCUGCCUAGCCAAAAAUGCUAGAAGUGGCACCCAGCCAGGAAGCGCCUUCUGGAAAAGCUUAACGUUUUGAUGGCUAGUGCUUUUGCACCCUAAGAAAUGAUGCAACUCCAGUGUCAUAAAUACAUUCUCCUUUGUUUACUUCUGGAAGUUCUGCCACUUUAGCUUUUACAUGAAGUGGCCGGGACUUUCAGGAAUAAAGUUUGGUAAAAGCAGGAGCAGGUGUCCUUGACCUGUUCCUUGUCUCGGAAGGACAGUGGCUGUUCUUCCGCCGUAAAGUCCAGUGGGAGUUGUCGACAAUUUUCACAGAUGCCAUCUAUUAGGCGAGGGAGUUUCCUCUGAGUCCUACGUUGCACGAGCCUUGUUUUUUUCAUAAAUAGGUGCUGAAUGUGGUCAAAUGUGUUUACUCCACAAAGAGGCUGUACCUCUUUGUGUUAUAUUUAGUAGUUGCCCUAGGAGUUUAAAACAUGCAUCUUUAAUUUACUAUAACCUACUUACAGUUAACGCUGUACUGCUCCGCAUUAAGUGUAAGAACCUUGUAACUGUAACAUUCCAUUUGCAACCAUCUUUUUGCUGUUGUUGUAGGUUCUCAUUCAUAUAAACCCAAAUUGUGCGUUGUUAUAAUUCUUGCAUUAAUCAGUGUCUUAAAGAAAAUAAGAGAAGGAAAAAUAGUGUUUUAAAUUUACCUGCUCAUCCACCAUCUCUUCAUUUCUUCCUGGUGUAAUUUCUCUUCAGCCCAAGGAACCUCCUGCUGUAGUCCCUGCAGUCCACACAACGGGUGGCAGUUACCCCGGCUGUCACCGAAGUGUCCUCACUUCUCUCCUACCUUUGAAUAAUGUUUGUGCUGCACAUAAAUUUCCGGGACGGCUUUCUUUCCAAACAUAAAUUUGGUUUUGUUUCUUCCCAUCUUCAUUUUUUCUGCUGUGUAAUCAGACAUGUGUACCGUGUCCUUACUUCCCUGGCUGCUUCCAAGAUUUUAUCUUUAUCUUUGAUUUUCAAGAGUUUGACUAUGCUGUGCCUUAGUGUUUGGGGCUUUGGGGGUUUAUACUGUGUGGAAUUGGCUGAGAUUCUUGUAUCUGUAAGUUGAUCCAAAACUCAUGACAUUGGUCAUUGUUUCUUCAAAUGUUUUUUCAGCCCCUUCCUCCCUCUCAGGCACCGUUACACUAGACUUUCCAACGUGGAUCUCACCCAGUGUGUUCUUUUCUCCAGUGGGUGGAUUCCCUCUAGUUUCUGACUGCUUUGGGUGAUCUUCUGUGUCUUCAAACAGGUAUCUUCUAUUUUGUGUAGAGUUGAUCACUUUUGUCUGUGAAAAAGGCAGCUUUAUACAAGCUGCUCAGUCACUGCCCAUUCCAGCACCGCCAUUUGCUUGACAAACACCAGUCCUGCUGUGCCUGCUGCAGGGUUAGUGAAACCGCCAACCUGGCGUCCUGCUCCCCUGUGUGGCCCUGGCACACGAGAACCAGAGCUGGGGAGCCG
Vicugna pacos (alpaca) is the source of this 1977-nucleotide non-coding RNA. The record is from RefSeq and is a predicted model, not a curated record. Lineage: Eukaryota; Metazoa; Chordata; Mammalia; Artiodactyla; Camelidae.